AGACAUUUUACCCAUCUCAUCACUGACAGAUGUAAGACUGAGCAAGACAGAGGCAAACCUUCCUUAGGAUUUCGAUGUGGAAAAAACCAUAUGACAAGCAGGAAUUGGCCUGGAUCUGGAAAAGAAGGAGUGGAUGCUACCAGGCAUCAACCGCUUUGCCUUGAUAGGAACCUGAAACAGAUGGGAUUUUGGCAAGAGUACAGUUUUCUUGAAGACCUAGAGAAAACUGUAAAAUCAAAAAGAUUCUUCAUGAUGUCAUCAGAACAACUUUUGUAAAUGACAGGGAGCUUGGAAGGGGAAGUAGAAGUUACCUGGGAUCUUAUGAACAGGUGCAUGGGCCUGGCUUGAUCCAUCAGACAAGCGGUUUAUCCUACCAAAUGUGGUCUUGGCAUAGAUGGAGAAAUAAUGUUAUUUGAAAUA
Long non-coding RNA from Tyto alba (common barn owl), 420 nucleotides. RefSeq lists it as uncharacterized. The transcript has 3 exons. The record is from RefSeq and is a predicted model, not a curated record. Lineage: Eukaryota; Metazoa; Chordata; Aves; Strigiformes; Tytonidae.